CGGGCCGCGAUGGCCCAGGGCGGCAUGGAAGCCAUUGGAGGUGCCGGCGAGGCCGAGGUCGAGGUUAAUGAGCCUAGCGGCGGCGGCCGGGUGCGCGUCGAGCGCCGGCAGGACAUCCUCGGUCUAGCAGUACAACUUGGAGAGGUCGAGCGCGGUGAGCUCGGGGCAGGCCUAGAGCAGCGACUCGAGAUCCGAACAGUCGAGGAGGUCGAGGGCCUACUGGUGCCAGCGUACGACCUUUGAUGCUAUGGAGCGUGGCUGGCGAGCAUGGAGGGUCACGGCAGUAGACGGCAAGGUCGGACACGACGGGGAAGUAGGCAGCGAGGUGCGCUGCAACGAAGGCGUUCGGUUUGGCGAUCUCCUCCUGGUGGAGUGGGAGGUCGUUGGAGAGGAGGAGGCGGGCGCCCCUGCGACGUGCGAGGCCGAUGAGAGAAGCGUUGUCCCCACAACGAGGUCAAUGAGAGGUCGAGCCGCUCGAGCAUUGGGAAGCAGAAGGUCAGCGGGAGCAGCAGGAAGUCGGGCAUCCUCGGGUCCCUGCACAAAGCCAUCGCGCCCGCUCCGCUGCCAGUAGCCCGUGGAUGCCAUCAGGGCACGCUGCUGUGAUCAAGGAUCGCCCAGGAAGCCCAGGAUAAGAUGUGCACAAACUGAACAAUAAGGAGUGGACAACCAGGAGGAGAACGACAUCACAGGUCUGUACCACCACCCCUGAAACUUUCUUUCUCCCCUUCCCUUUGCUAAGUCCAGCGCAUGUACACCCACCUGCAGUAACUCCUCUCUUCUUUCCAUGUUCAGUUGCACAUCUUAUUUAUGUCCUUGCUUAUCUUCAUAUGUCUACUACGUACAUACAGUACAUGUAUUCUUUUCUUCUACCAUUCUAUGUUGUAUAAUCUUUGUUAGUAAAUGCCCCAAUUUUUGUUAUGCAACAUGUGUAGAAAGGGGAAAAGGAUACUCAGGGCAUGGAUGAGAAGGCUAAGCAACAAUUUUGCAUCCCGUUCAGAAUUCCAUAACAGCAGUUGAUCCGUCUUUUAUUGGUUAAUAACUAUUGACUAUUGUGAAUGCAGUGUUAAUUUUCCAGAAAUUGUUUAAUGAAUUGCUGUGAACAUGACCCUUUGCAGGACGAUUUUCACACAACCUUGUGAUCGAUGGCUGCGGCCGAGGUGAUCGAUGGCUGCUAUAUCUUGUCAUGUAGAAAUCAGGCACAACCCAUAGCCUGUGUAGCAGUUCUCUUUGCAUCUUUGAGCAGAUGAGUUGUUAU
Molecule: long non-coding RNA, 1255 nt
Filed under: Triticum aestivum (bread wheat)
Lineage: Eukaryota; Viridiplantae; Streptophyta; Magnoliopsida; Poales; Poaceae
Description: long non-coding RNA (TAES_LNC021874)
Source: RNAcentral